Molecule: ribosomal RNA, 305 nt
Filed under: uncultured bacterium
Lineage: Bacteria
Description: partial 16S ribosomal RNA
Rfam family: Bacterial small subunit ribosomal RNA
Source: RNAcentral
ACAGCAGCAGCCACGGUAAAACGUAGGGUGCAAGCGUUAAUCGGAAUUACUGGGCGUAAAGCGUGCGCAGGCGGUUUGUUAAGACAGAUGUGAAAUCCCCGGGCUCAACCUGGGAACUGCAUUUGUGACUGGCAAGCUAGAGUAUGGCAGAGGGGGGUGGAAUUCCGCGUGUAGCAGUGAAAUGCGUAGAUAUGCGGAGGAACACCGAUGGCGAAGGCAGCCCCCUGGGCCAAUACUGACGCUCAUGCACGAAAGCGUGGGGAGCAAACAGGAUUAGAUACCCGUGUAGUCCCUGUCUCUUAUAC